GUAAAGUGGCAGAAGCUGGGACCAUCCAACUCUAAAGCCCACAUUCUUAGACAUUAGGGGAUAUUGAAUGAAGUGUGUGUAUGUAUGGGGGAAUUUAAGAGAAUAUCAAACCAUUUGUAGAGUUCUACCCAAUAUAGAGACCUUAUCUAAUGUAAGAGAACUCUGAAGACAUCUCAUUGAUUGAAUGCUCUCCCCUUCAUAGCAACUUCUUCUGCGGCUUCCUUGCCUGGUGCUCCAGUCUUUGAGGGAAGCACGGCUGGCACGUUCUUCCGUUUGGAGACAUGGUUGACAAUUUCUCCAUAAUGGGGACACAACUGGCAAUUUUCCUACAGAGUGAGGCAGAUGGCAAUUUUCCUUCAGAGACAUGCAGGCAACAGUUUUGCCCCUGGAGAGAAAAGCCUCGCCGAUUGAGAUGCAGCCAGUAAUUUUUACUAUACAGAAGACACAUCCAAUAAUUUUGCCCAGUGAGAGAAACGGCCAACAAUUUUCCCACAGAGGACAGGAAAAACAGACCAAAAAUUCAUAGUGGGGAGAAGUGAGGAGCAAAUGGGCUGGUAUGACCAAGAAAGACUUAAUAAGAAGCUGAGCCUUAAAUGAUCAAGAAGCACUGGAUAGAUAAGAGGAAUAAUCAUUUAUUAGCCAAGCGGGACUGGUGCCUUUUUGAGAACUGUCAUUCUGGAAAGAUAUUGAUUGAAGGAGGCCUCUGAGCACAUUCUCUCCAGCAGGCAGCCGUAAGGGAGGCGGCUGCAGUCCAGACAAGAUGAUGAGUUGGCAGUGAGCAUCUCGACAGGAGCCUAAUGAAGAAAUCUGGUAGCUUUGUGCAGUUACUCCAAGAGAAGCCCGAACUCCCUGGGGAGCCUCUGCCCAGGUGGAAGAGCUCUCGAGUGGCUAUUAUUAGGGGUGAUUGCUGGGAAGCUGGUUGCCAUGGCACCGCAGAGGCCAGUGCUGAACUCCCAAGCUGCCCCGUUUCCAAGGCUGUCUACAUAAUCACUGCAAUGAGAGGCACAGGCACAGAAAGGGAGAGAGGAGCAGCUCCCCACUGACAGUGAUCUCCCUGCAGAGCAAGGUUCCUGGAGUUUGCAAACAUCGAGUAGUGAUAGUCUUCCAUCUGCCAGGCACUGCGCUAAACUCUUUAUGGAGACAAAGAAAUGAUGCUCAGAGAGUCAUUUGCCCUUGGUCACAGGCUAAGAAGAGGCAGAGCUAGGACGUAAACCCAACUCUGGCUCUAUGGCAUCUCAUAUAGCAUCAUUUUUCCUCCAGUCCUCUGACUAGAAAGGGUGGCCCCUUCAACCUGGUGCUGAGAACAGACACUGGCGGCCCCACACCUCUGAAGGCAUGGUUCCAGCAAAUAGAAAUUGGACUGGCAAGGAUUAAACCGCUGGUUUGGGCUUCAUUAGCUAUGUGAUCUCACCAACCACAGAGAAUUAACCAGAGUGGAGCCAUCUCUUUACAGACUUAACACAAUGUACCGAGGCAAUGUGGAGAACAGUCACUGAAUUUAUUGAGCACCUACUACCUGCUCCAGACAUGCCAUUAACACGUGGGCUAUCCUUCCCUUCCACAGUCACUCUAGAACUUGAGGCCACUGUCCUCUGAUGCAGAGAGAAGAAACAUUUUAUAAUCACUGUAGACAAUAAAGGCUUUAUCUGUUAGCAAGCACUUUUGCUUAAUGACUUGGUCAUGGGGAAGGAGAGACAGGUUGUACUUGGUCCUCAUUUUGCACUUGGUUAGAGAGUAAGAGGCCUUUCCAUCUCCACUGCUGCUCAGGUACUUCCUCCCAGUGUACUCUAGCACUCCCCCAGCAGGUUCUGUAGAAACACAGACCCCAAGGCCUGGGCAGACUCUACCAGAAAAAUACUUGUGUUCCUCUGUGCUCUGCCUAGUACAUGGCUUCCCUGGCUACCUCUCCUACAGGCCUGGGGAGGCAAAGAUGGGAAGUGUUUGUAGGUAUUAUCUACUGACAACAUUCAACUUUAGACCUCGGUUCAAGCCCCCUCUACCUUUGCCUAGAUCUUUGACUUUGUGUAAACAACAUGCUUUUUCUGGGCCCAAUUUUCUCAUCUGUAACUCCAAGUUUAUGAAUUGUUUUGAUAAUAAAAUACUAAAAAAUA
Molecule: long non-coding RNA, 2111 nt
Filed under: Homo sapiens (human)
Lineage: Eukaryota; Metazoa; Chordata; Mammalia; Primates; Hominidae
Description: PPP2R2B antisense RNA 2 (PPP2R2B-AS2)
Source: RNAcentral